CCUGGGAAACCCGAAAGAUCGAAUGGGGAGAUUCACCGUCAGUCGACGUUCGGCUUCACGGUGGUUCGUGAUGCGCGCGCCGUCCUCUUCGCGGGGUCUCGGCGACGUCGCACGCGUCCGCCGUGCCUCGAAAUGUCCGACGCCGUCGGCGUGCACUUCUCCCCUAGUAGGACGUCGCGACCCGUUGGGUGUCGGUCUACGGCCCGGGCUGUCGCCUGUUCCGUCGCUUCGGCGUCGCGGGGCAGACACCCGGUGUAUCCUGGCCGGCUGCUCGACGGUACUCGCACGGUAUAUGGCCGCAAUCGAACUGCGUCACACGACAGGCCCGCCGCAAGCGCGGUCAGCGUUUCCCGGAGGCACGGACCCAGCGCCGUCUCCGGACCUGGCCCGCUGUUCGCCGGCGGUGUUCCUCUGACAGGCCACGCGCGCUCGCUUCGGCGUUCGCGCUUCGAUACCGAUCGGCGACGCUACUGCUUUGGGUACUUCCAGG
This 490-nucleotide ribosomal RNA is filed under the name Trissevania anemotis. RNAcentral's name for it is "eukaryotic LSU rRNA". The record is from RNAcentral. Lineage: Eukaryota; Metazoa; Arthropoda; Insecta; Hymenoptera; Evaniidae.